AUAUCAAUAAGCGGAGGAAAAGAAACUAACAAGGAUUCCCCUAGUAACUGCGAGUGAAGCGGGAAAAGCUCAAAUUUAAAAUCUGGCAGUCUUUGGCUGUCCGAGUUGUAAUCUGGAGAAGUGUUUUCCGCGCUGGACCGUGUACAAGUCUCUUGGAAUAGAGCGUCAUAGAGGGUGAGAAUCCCGUCUUUGACACGGACUACCAGUGCUUUGUGAUGCGCUUUCAAAGAGUCGAGUUGUUUGGGAAUGCAGCUCAAAAUGGGUGGUAAAUUCCAUCUAAAGCUAAAUAUUGGCGAGAGACCGAUAGCGAACAAGUACCGUGAGGGAAAGAUGAAAAGCACUUUGGAAAGAGAGUUAAACAGUACGUGAAAUUGCUGAAAGGGAAACGCUUGAAGUCAGUCGCGUUGUUCAGAACUCAGCCUGGCUUUGGCUUGGUGCAUUUUCUGAAUAACGGGCCAGCAUCAAUUUUGACUGUUGGAUAAAGGCUAGGGAAAUGUGGCUCCUUUGGGAGUGUUAUAGUCCUUGGUUGCAUACAAUGGUUGGGAUUGAGGAACUCAGCAUGCCUUUAUGGUCGGGGUUCGCCCACGUUCAUGCUUAGGAUGCUGGCGUAAUGGCUUUAAACGACCCGUCUUGAAACACGGACCAAGGAGUCUAACAUGCCUGCGAGUGUUUGGGUGGAAAACCCGAGCGCGCAAUGAAAGUGAAAGUUGGGAUCUCUGUCGUGGAGAGCACCAAUGCCCGGACCAGACCUUCUGUGACGGUUCCGCGGUAGAGCAUGUAUGUUGGGACCCGAAAGAUGGUGAACUAUGCCUGAAUAGGGUGAAGCCAGAGGAAACUCUGGUGGAGGCUCGUAGCGAUUCUGACGUGCAAAUCGAUCGUCAAAUUUGGGUAUAGGGGCGAAAGACUAAUCGAACCAUCUAGUAGCUGGU
RNAcentral lists this ribosomal RNA (929 nucleotides) under Lividopora vincta. Its description in RNAcentral is "eukaryotic LSU rRNA". It matches the Rfam family "Eukaryotic large subunit ribosomal RNA", at positions 40 to 955 of the family's 3401-position model. Lineage: Eukaryota; Fungi; Basidiomycota; Agaricomycetes; Polyporales; Cerrenaceae. The record is from RNAcentral.